RNAcentral lists this ribosomal RNA (492 nucleotides) under uncultured bacterium. RNAcentral's name for it is "partial 16S ribosomal RNA". It matches the Rfam family "Bacterial small subunit ribosomal RNA", at positions 29 to 507 of the family's 1533-position model. The record is from RNAcentral.
AGUGAACGCUGGCGGUAGGCCUAAUACAUGCAAGUCGAACGGCAGCACAGUAAGAGCUUGCUUUUAAGGGUGGCGAGUGGCGGGUGGGUGAGACAUAGAUAGGAAUCCAAUAAGUCGGGGGGGAUAACGGAGGGAAACAGACGCUAAUAGAGAAUAUGACGUACGGGAGAAAGCAGGAGAGCUUCGGACCUUGGGCGUCAGAAAGAGACGGAGUCGGAUUAGAUAGGUGGGGGGGUAAAGGGACAGCAAGGCGACGCUCCGUAGCUGGUCCGAGAGGAUGAACCGCCACACUGGAACUUGGACACGGUCCCGACCCCUACGGGAGGCAGCAGUGGGGAAUUUUUGCCAAUGGGCGCAAGCCUUAUCCAGCCAUACCGCGUUGGUGAAGGAGGCCUUCCGGUUCUUAAGCCCUUUUGUUUGGAAAGAAAAACAUCAGGUUAAUACCCCGCUGUUCUGACGGUACCCAAAUAAUAAGCACCGGCUAACUUCGUG